Salvia splendens (bonfire salvia) is the source of this 1037-nucleotide RNA transcript. It is a transcript of the gene named transcription initiation factor IIA subunit 2, with no coding region annotated. The transcript is spliced from 3 exons. The record is from RefSeq and is a predicted model, not a curated record. Lineage: Eukaryota; Viridiplantae; Streptophyta; Magnoliopsida; Lamiales; Lamiaceae.
UCCAAAUCCAACUCGCAUAGGCGGAUGCUUUCAAUUCUCUUUCUCUCUCUCACUGCAUCGACGAACUCGCAUAGCUCGACCAGAUUAUCUAACCAAUUAAUAAACGAUCAACAACUUCCGAAAAUCAAGUUUCUGGCAGUGGAAUCAGUAGAGGAAAAAUGGCGACUUGCGAGCUGUACAGGAUAUCGACGAUCGGGGUGUGCUUGACGGAAAUUCUAGAUCAGAUGGUUUCUAGUGGUGUGCUGAGCCCGGAACUCGCCAUUCAAGUUCUUCUUCAAUUCGAAAAGCUUCUUAUUUACGCGUGAUUAAUGUUCCCGUUUCUGUUAACUAUGAUUUGCCCUAAUUGAUUUGGGGAAAACGGUGAUUCUACUGGAGAAAACUACAAAUGGUAUUGGAUGGAAACUAGUGAUUUAUGAACUUCAGAAAUAUUCAAGAAUAGGCUUCAAGGUUUAUGGUUAAUGUAUUUGGUAAAAUUUUGCUCCUUCCUCUAUGAUGGGGACAAUUGACAUCUAUCAUCAGAUGUUAGGGAAUCUAAAAAUAUGUGUUUGGAUGCAUCCAAUAUGCUUCCUGCAAUUGCUUGCUAUUGACUAAUACUAUCUUUUGCAAUUUUGCUCGCAUGAUUGCAGUCAAUGACAGAUGCUCUGGAAAAUGAGGUGAAGAGCAAGGUCUCCAUUAAGGGGCAUCUUCACACCUACAAUUUCUGUGACAACGUCUGGAACUUCACCCUACAAAAUGCUCAGAUCAAAAGUGAGGAAGGCCAGGAAACCGUCGAAUGUGUCAAGAUAGUCGCGUGUGAUUCUAAGCUGCUGACUCAGUGAAAGGAGGGAAGGAUAGAACACAUAAUCUCUUCAUUCAUAUUUAUGAGAGAUAGGGUCGCGUUAUAAUAAUAACUAAUUUCUAAUACAAAAUGCAUAAUUUUUAAAUUUUCUAUAUUAAUAUUAUCAACUCAAAUACAUGAAUAUUUUAAUUUACUUGUUGUGUUGAUAAAGUUAUGUUUUCGUAUUGAUGAUUUUAAUAUAUAGAAUUGAAAGUUACUA